This 80-nucleotide transfer RNA is filed under the name Candidatus Thorarchaeota archaeon. RNAcentral describes it as "tRNA-Ser". It matches the Rfam family "tRNA". From Rfam's summary of the family: Transfer RNA (tRNA) molecules are approximately 80 nucleotides in length. Their secondary structure includes four short double-helical elements and three loops (D, anti-codon, and T loops). Lineage: Archaea; Promethearchaeati; Candidatus Thorarchaeota. The record is from RNAcentral.
GCCCGGAUAGCCAAGUGGUUACGGCGGCAGCCUGGAGUGCGUCUGGUUCGGCCAGAGUUCGAAUCUCAUUCCGGGCGCCA